RNAcentral lists this ribosomal RNA (168 nucleotides) under uncultured bacterium. RNAcentral's name for it is "partial 16S ribosomal RNA". It matches the Rfam family "Bacterial small subunit ribosomal RNA", at positions 332 to 497 of the family's 1533-position model. The record is from RNAcentral.
GGGACUCUACGGAGGCAGCAGUAGGGAAUCUUCCGCAAUGGACGAAAGUCUGACGGAGCAACGCCGCGUGAGUAUUGAAGGCUUUCGGGUCGUAAAACUCUGUUGUUAGGGAAGAACAAGUACAAGAGUAACUGCUUGUCUUGAGGUACCUAGCCGGACACCACGCCC